Molecule: long non-coding RNA, 328 nt
Organism: Thamnophis elegans (Western terrestrial garter snake)
Lineage: Eukaryota; Metazoa; Chordata; Lepidosauria; Squamata; Natricidae
Exons: 3
Source: RefSeq, a predicted model, not a curated record
GCCCCGGGGGCGAGGGAGACGGCAGGCGCCGUCCGGGCCCGCUUGCGCAGCUGCCGGCCGCCCUCCAGCCCGGCGGGGGCAGCUGCAGGGGGACGGGGGAUGCACACGAGGGGCCAGUCCCGUCCUGUGAAGACCGCCCGCAGGGUCUCUGGUGUGAAUGCUGCGCCUUCUUUCAAGCCCCGAAAGGGAGGAAGCUCUUUGCGGGGCAGCCCUUGGAGAGGGUUCAGUAACAAUGGGGUAAACGGCAGCGGCUUGCUUAGUCCCUGAAAACAAGCCAGAAACCCCCAGAGUCUCCACAUCUUUUCUACAUCGUGGCAACCAAAACUGG